GUAUACUAUAAAAGCUGUCCUAAGACAGCAGGUGUCCAAAAGGACAGAAAAGACACAUUGUCUUGCCUGCCGAGGAAAGGUGCGGAUAUCCGUGUAUAUUCACGCGGUUAACAGGCUCUUUCCAUCCGUGGAAAGAGCCGUUUUUGUUUGCGCC
This is a non-coding RNA of Anaerotruncus colihominis DSM 17241, 154 nucleotides long. The record is from Rfam. Lineage: Bacteria; Bacillati; Bacillota; Clostridia; Eubacteriales; Oscillospiraceae.